RNAcentral lists this ribosomal RNA (433 nucleotides) under uncultured bacterium. Its description in RNAcentral is "bacterial SSU rRNA". It matches the Rfam family "Bacterial small subunit ribosomal RNA", at positions 958 to 1392 of the family's 1533-position model. The record is from RNAcentral.
AACGCGAAGAACCUUACCUGGGCUUGAACCGCACAGGACCAUCUUUGGAAACAGAGACUUCCCGCAAGGGACCUGUGUAGAGGUGCUGCAUGGCUGUCGUCAGCUCGUGCCGUGAGGUGUUGGGUUAAGUCCCGCAACGAGCGCAACCCUUACUCGUAGUUGCCACCCGCAAGGGGGAACUCUACGAGGACUGCUCCGGAUAACGGAGAGGAAGGUGGGGAUGAGGUCAAGUCAGCAUGGCCUUUAUGUCCAGGGCUACACACGUGUUACAAUGCGCGCCACAAAGCGUCGCGAACCCGCGAGGGGGAGCUAAUCGCAAAAAAGCGCGCUCAGUUCGGAUUGCAGUCUGCAACUCGACCGCAUGAAGCCGGAAUCGCUAGUAAUGGCGCAUCAGAACGGCGCCGUGAAUACGUUCCCGGGUCUUGACACACCG